Eriocheir sinensis (Chinese mitten crab) is the source of this 446-nucleotide long non-coding RNA. RefSeq lists it as uncharacterized. Lineage: Eukaryota; Metazoa; Arthropoda; Malacostraca; Decapoda; Varunidae. The transcript is spliced from 3 exons. The record is from RefSeq and is a predicted model, not a curated record.
CACAUCUACGGGCCGGGAAACCAGCGCAGAAAAGGAGUAAGUUUAAUUGGUCGCCAGAUGAAACGGUCUUCUUACAUCAAAUUCAAGAAAAAAAUACGUAUAAUCAGAGGGUGUUAUGGGAAGAGUAUCACCCCUGAGGAUAAGAAGAGAGCGUGGACUGAAGUGGCAGAAGCUGUAACAAGUGCCUUCCCUGGGAGUGGACCCCGUACGCAGGAUGACUGUGAGAGGCGUUGGUACAACGUACAACAAAAAUCAAAGCCUCGCAUUGCCAAGUGCAAGAAUGAGCAGCGGCAGACUGAUACACACUUUAUCAGUAUUGCUAGAGACUAUCCCAGCACAUUGUUCAUUACUUGUGGAAAAGAUACCAUUAGCUGCUCCGGCAACAGCCACUGCUUCAAUAUCUGCUGGCCCUAUGACACCAGCCACUGCUUCAUCAUCUGCUGGCC